Molecule: unclassified non-coding RNA, 2842 nt
Filed under: Leishmania donovani
Lineage: Eukaryota; Euglenozoa; Kinetoplastea; Trypanosomatida; Trypanosomatidae
Description: gene:LdHU3.03.0970(CDS-product:NLI_interacting_fa ctor-like_phosphatase_putative)
Source: RNAcentral
CGAAGAAACGGAAGUAUUCGUCAGCAUACACGCCCAGUCUGAUACGCACCCAGGCGCGGGCGCAUCUUCGCUCACAAGCAUAGAGAGAGAAAGCACACGUCUACGGCCGUGUGCGUGCGCCUCCGCGUGUGACGGAGGGCUGACGCUCAGUCGGCUGCCGGCAAAGGAUCGGCGCAUCGGUCCUCUGGUAGGAGGGGAAUGCUGGCCGACAUCGUCAAGUACGCGCGGUGGCUCUGGGAUGCCGUGCUGCUCCCGUACGUCAUCACUUCCAUAUCGAGUCUUGCCUCGGAUGGCUGGGAGUCUUUCAUCCACCUGAAGGAGAGCGUCAUCGUGCUCUUCUUCUUCCUGUGCGGCUGCAGCCACCGCACCUUCCCGCUGUCGCGGUCAGCUGUGGAGGCACAGCGAUCUGCGGCGACCGCUGCUGAAUCGACGCGUGCGAGUGCUCGCAUGGCGCAGCGGAGCUACGGCCGUGUUAGCGAGGGGGAAGACAACGACGCCGACAGCGAGGCGGACGUGAAAGGAGCGCGGCAGGUAAGCGUUUCCGUGGCCGCCGCUUCAGCGACAGAAGGAGCCACAGCUUCGGGGCAGUGCGCCGGCGAGGGCAACGGCAGGCGCGACGGCAUCGAUGACGGGCUACCGCUCAUUCAGCGCCGCCUGCUGUUUGGCAAGAAGGGCGAAGUGGAAGGGUGGAUGUCGGCCGUGCGCAGUCGCCUCCUCGUCCCACCGCAUCACCCGCUGUGCACCUCACGCAGUCUUCACCAGCUCGUGAGCAUCGUGGUCGGCCCCAUCCAGCAGCCGACGGUGUCGACAAUGCCAACGCGUCACCCGGAACCGCAGUGGCCGCCGCACUUUUUGCGUACGAGCAGCAGUGGCGGCGGUACCGGCGGUAGCAGCUUGCUGGGCGACCCGUCGACGGACGACAACAGCAGCUCUAACUCGAGCGCUGCACCUCACACGCUGCGGCACCGCACAAACGCGGCGGCGGCGGCACGAUACCGUCAGGCCUCCUCGGUCGUCUACAAGCGUGUGAGCAGCCGCAACCUGGACUUUUCGAGCUCGUGCGUUGCGCCGCACCUCAUAGCGAGCAUCACGGCCCACCAUGUGCUGAGCUACCCGGCGACGCGGCAGAAGGUGCUGGUCAUCGACCUUGACGAGACUCUGUGCCACGUCUCCACCACCACGGCGAACAUGGCAGGCCCGCCGACUUUCUCGGAGGUCAUUCCGACCGCUUCGGGGGCGGAGCUCUUCCACGUGUGGGAACGGCCGUACGCCCGCCUCUUUCUCUCCACAGCCGCGAAGCUCUUUAACCUCGUCCUGUUCACGUCCGCGUCGAAGCCGUACGCCGACACCAUCCUGCAGCGCAUCGACCCGGACGGUCUCUUGAAGUACCGCUACUACCGGCAGGACUGCCGGCUUGUCCCGCGGGGGCUGCUGCGCAAGAUGUGCGCGGCAGCAGGCAUGCGCGGACUGCCCCUGGGGUCGGGUGGGGAUGGAGGCCGCAGCAGCGUGGCGCGUGGCUCCAGCGAUUGCGACCGCAGUGGAGGCGGCGGCGGUAGCGUCGCCGGAGGUGGUGUGUACGGCAGCAGCAGCAGCAGCAGCGCCAGGCCGUUGGGCAGCCUCUCCUCAGUGGUCAGCAUUGGCGGCCGCCACAGCGGUUCUACGACCAACACCGACGAUGACGUCAACGGGAGCGGUAGCGGUGGUAGGGGUUCCACACGUGCGUGGGGCAACACACUCUCUUCCGAGGCCAAGGGAUCCUUCCUGGGCAGCGGUGGGACGGCAGCCAGCGACCAUGCACUGACGGCAUCUGUUUUUGUUGGCACAGCCGCCGACCGCGGCGGCGUCGACACGGGCCUUCCCGCCGUAGAGAAGGCUGCAAUGAACGAGCACGCCAAGGUACUAGUGAAGGACCUGCGGCUGCUCAAGGUGCCGCCGGAGCUGCUUGUCAUGAUCGACAACUCGGAAGAGUGCACGCUCGUGAACCCGGAGAAUGCACUGGUCAUACCCCCGUACAUCCCUGCAUUGUCCAAGAUGGCUCCACCGGCGCGCGAGACGACGCGGCGACGUGGGAGCCGCGGUCGCGACGAGCAAGGGAGCGGUGGUGGCGCCGUGGAGGUGCAGCCGCAGAACAGUCUCAAGACCAGCGACGAUGAUGCAGGCGGUCCAUUAGAGGGACGCACCGCUACCGACGCGUCGUCGAAUGUGGAUAACGGUGGUGCCGGUAGUGUGCAAGCCGCAGACGACUACGACGUCGCAGGCGGAACCUCAGACGAUUCCAGCGUGGGCGACGACAUGGCCACCAACGACGGCACCGAGGACGACGAGGAUGAAGUGCUGCUUGCGCUGCUGUCACUGCUGGAGUGCCUGCUGGUGGUUCCCGACGUGCGGUCGAUCCUGCGGCACGGCAGGCUCUAUUAGGCGUACUGUGAACCUCAUUAGUGCGUUGGUGGAAUUUCCGGCGUUCGAUGCGCGGAUGCCUACCAAGUAAUUCUCGUGUCCUCUCGCCUCCCUUGCGGUCUAUUGUUGGGCGGCCGUGUGUGUGUGUGUGUGUGUGUGUGUGUGUGUGGUGCCCAGGCCGUGUGCUGGCGUGAACGGAGUCGCCCUCGCCCUUUUUGUGUGUGUAUCAUCGUGCUUUUGACGGUUGCACUGCCCUCAACACCCCGCCGCCGCCGUCGCUGCAGCCCCUUCCCUCCCCUUUCUCCAAAUCAUUAUCGACCAUGACGCUCCAGCUUCAGCCCCUACCUCCGCCAAUCGCCUUCCCUUUCCCUCUCCAUUCACCAUCACCCAUGCCCACGCCGUGCCCGCUGCUGUUGUUGCUACGUUCCACGGCUGCGCCGUGAAG